Molecule: non-coding RNA, 115 nt
Filed under: human gut metagenome
Description: THF riboswitch
Rfam family: THF (Tetrahydrofolate) riboswitch aptamer
About the family: THF riboswitch presents a pseudoknot that joins P1-P2 and the loop of P3 and two THF binding.
Source: RNAcentral
GCAGAGUAGAGUAAUGCGCGUUAAGUGCCGCCUGUACAGGGAGUUGACGGACGGACGAAAAGGCAGCCGCGAAGGAGCGGUGAGGUCUUGCGGUGUAUUAUUCGCAUCUCGCUGC